UAGGGAAUCUUCGGCAAUGGGGGGAACCCUGACCGAGCAACGCCGCGUGAGUGAAGAAGGUUUUCGGAUCGUAAAGCUCUGUUGUUAAGGAAGAACGAGUGUGAGAAUGGAAAGUUCAUACUGUGACGGUACUUAACCAGAAAGGGACGGCUAACUACGUGCCAGCAGCCGCGGUAAUACGUAGGUCCCGAGCGUUGUCCGGAUGUAUUGGGCGUAAAGCGAGCGCAGGCGGUUAGAUAAGUCUGAAGUUAAAGGCAGUGGCUCAACCAUUGUAGGCUUUGGAAACUGUUUAACUUGAGUGCAUAAGGGGAGAGUGGAAUUCCAUGUGUAGCGGUGAAAUGCGUAGAUAUAUGGAGGAACACCGGUGGCGAAAGCGGCUCUCUGGUCUGUAACUGACGCUGAGGCUCGAAAGCGUGGGGAGCGAACAGG
RNAcentral lists this ribosomal RNA (429 nucleotides) under Bacteroidota bacterium. RNAcentral describes it as "Bacteroidetes bacterium partial 16S ribosomal RNA". It matches the Rfam family "Bacterial small subunit ribosomal RNA", at positions 355 to 776 of the family's 1533-position model. The record is from RNAcentral. Lineage: Bacteria; Pseudomonadati; Bacteroidota.